RNAcentral lists this long non-coding RNA (728 nucleotides) under Malus domestica (apple). Its description in RNAcentral is "long non-coding RNA (MDOM_LNC011518)". Lineage: Eukaryota; Viridiplantae; Streptophyta; Magnoliopsida; Rosales; Rosaceae. The record is from RNAcentral.
UUGAAUAAUCACCAGACACUUCAAUGUAUUAAGGUGUGUACUUCAAUUUCUAGUUUUCCACACACCUAUUUAUUUACGUUUCUUCUAUGGUUUAUUUACGUUUCUUCAAGCAUAGUAACGAUCAUUGCUCAUUAUCGUUUUCCACCCACCUAUUUAUUUACGUCUAUUUUAUGGUUUAUUCAAUCCAAAAAUCAGAAAUAAAUAAGGUUGUGCAUAAAGAAAAAAUGAGUAUGCGGAAAUCACUUCCCCAAAAUUAAGUAGCUUCAACCUUUUUCCAGCGCAUUGAACUUCAUACAAGUAGGUCUAGUUAGUGUGCGACCAAGUUCACAUUGAUUAAAAGAGAAAAGAGCAAGCCUUUGUGCUUUGGUUUUUGGUUUUUUGUUUGGGGGCAUAUAAAUAAAUAAGGUUAAUAUUUGUAUUCAAUGAUUCAAUGAUUGAAAUACAACUCAUUCAAGCAAUAAUUCAAUGAUCGCUGAUGAUUGAAAUACAACUCAAUCGAGCAAUAAUUCAAUGAUUGCUAUUACAAUUAAGCUGUAAGAUUUAUGGUUUACGGUCACUUGUCACUCCAUGACACAUAAAAGAACUACUUUGGAAAUGGUAAUACCAUAGGAUAUGGAUUGAGACUUGUAAUUAUAGCUGAAAUCAGAUAUUUUAACUUUAAUGCAUCUGAAUAUAGAUCAAGGUUGAUCAAUUCGAUAUUAAUCAAAUCUGACUUUAGAUGAACAAUU